Odocoileus virginianus texanus is the source of this 2181-nucleotide non-coding RNA. Lineage: Eukaryota; Metazoa; Chordata; Mammalia; Artiodactyla; Cervidae. The record is from RefSeq and is a predicted model, not a curated record.
AUGGGGGUCCUACUCAAUAUACAUAUUGCAUAAACUGCCUGUAUCUCUUUGACUAAACAUAGAGACGCAUAUUUGAUGUGACUGCCUCUUUUCCAUCAGAUUUUCGGAAACAUGGUUUGUAGUUUCAUGUUUCCUUUCUGGAGGACCUAAAGUGGGGUGGAAGUUUGAUAAAAGUUGACACAAAAGAUGAGAGAAGGUAGGUACAGACACGACAUUCUCGAAUGCUCUAACAGUUGCUGGAAUGCUAGGAUCUAGGUUCUAUCAGACACCCCUGCCUCCCAUCCAUGCCCCCAGAGACUCACGCACGCGCACACACAAACACACAGACACACGUUGUAAGGUUGUUCUAUGAUGAGGCUUUUGCUAUGGCUAAUGACCCCUUGGAAGGCUUCCAUGAAGUGAACCUUGCUUCACCUACUUCUCCAGACCUUCUUGCUGUGUAUGAACCGGGAACUCAAGAGCAGACUACCUCACCUAGUGUCAUCUAUCGGCCACAUCCUUCAGCUUUGUGCUCCACCCCUAUCCAGGCUAAUGCCUUAGAUGUUUCUGACCUUCCUACACAACCUGUGUAUUCCUCCCCCAGACGUUUAAAUUGUGCGGAAAUAUCCAGUGGCAGCAUCCAUGGUGCAGAUCCAGCACCUUGUUCUACCUCUGGAAUCACAGCUGGGUUACUUAAAUUAACUACCAGAAGGGACAACUGUAGUGCAGAGAGGGAGUUUCUACAGGGUGCUACUGUAACGGAGGCCUGUGAUGGCAGUGAUGAUAUUUUUGGGUUGAGUACUGAUAGUCUGUCCCGCUUACGAAGCCCAUCUGUUUUGGAAGUCAGAGAAAAGGGCUAUGAAAGAUUAAAAGAAGAACUUGCAAAAGCUCAGAGGGAACUGAAGUUAAAAGAUGAAGAGUGUGAGAGGCUUUCUAAAGUACGAGAUCAACUUGGACAGGAGUUGGAGGAACUCACAGCUAGUCUAUUUGAGGAAGCUCAUAAGAUGGUGAGAGAAGCAAAUGUCAAGCAGGCAACAGCAGAAAAACAACUAAAAGAAGCACAAGGAAAAAUUGAUGUCCUUCAAGCUGAAGUAGCUGCAUUGAAGACACUUGUAUUGUCCAGUUCUCCAACAUCGCCUACACAGGAGCCUCUGCCAGGUGGAAAGGCACAUUUUAAAAAGGGGCACACAAGAAAUAAAAGUACAAGCAGCGCUAUGAGCGGCAGUCAUCAGGACCUCAGUGUGAUACAGCCAAUUGUGAAAGACUGCAAAGAGGCUGACUUAUCCCUGUAUAAUGAAUUCAGAUCUUGGAAGGAUGAGCCCACAAUGGACAGAACCUGUCCUUUCUUAGACAAAAUCUAUCAGGAAGAUAUCUUUCCUUGUUUAACCUUCUCAAAAAGUGAGUUGGCUUCAGCUGUUCUGGAGGCUGUGGAAAACAACACUUUAAGCAUUGAACCAGUGGGAUUACAACCUGUCCGAUUCGUGAAAGCAUCUGCAGUUGAAUGUGGAGGACCAAAAGUCUGUGCAGCCCAGAGACCAACCCGCAGGCAGUGUGGGGAUUUCAGAUGUAUCGUCAGUGGAGAGCUCUUUAAUUACAGACCUGUACGUGGGAUCCAGGUAGAUCAGGAACCAUUUGUUGUGUGUUUGCUUAAUAUGGAGCCACAUUCAUUUCAUAUGUCUCAAAAUGUGCCCUCACAGGUCAGAGCAAGUCCUGUAAACACAGAAUUAAACUAGGGGACUCAAGCAACUACUAUUAUAUUUCUCCUUUUUGCAGAUACAGGAUCACGUCUGUCUGUAACUUUUUCACAUACAUUCGGUACAUUCAGCAGGGACUUGUGAAACAGCAAGAUGUUGACCAAAUGUUUUGGGAAGUUAUGCAGUUGAGAAAAGAGAUGUCAUUGGCAAAGCUGGGCUAUUUCAAAGAGGAACUCUGAUGUUCUGCCGGGGACCAUCCACGAACCUCUCUGAAGACCUGGAAAAUGGCUGAAUAUUUUUACGGUUACUUGAUAUUUAUUUCCAAGGAGCGGGUCCAAGACUUUUUCCCUCUUUUGCAGAUUAUACUAAGAAGUACUGUGAUUUCUUUUUAAACUGACCUAUGCUGUGUUUGCUUAUUAUUUAGUUGAACACACUAUAAGGAAUUACAGGUGUACUAGUGAUUGUAAUUUAUAGUUGCAAAAAAUAGCUAAAUAAACGUUAAACUGAG